GACGAACGCUGGCGGCGUGCUUAACACAUGCAAGUCGAACGGUGAACCUCUUCGGAGGGGAUCAGUGGCGAACGGGUGAGUAACACGUGGGCAACCUGCCCCCGGCUCUGGGAUAACUCCAAGAAAUUGGGGCUAAUACCGGAUGUUCACCGCUUCCCGCAUGGGUGGUGGUGGAAAGGGUUUCCGGCUGGGGAUGGGCCCGCGGCCUAUCAGCUUGUUGGUGGGGUAGUGGCCUACCAAGGCGACGACGGGUAGCCGGCCUGAGAGGGUGACCGGCCACACUGGGACUGAGACACGGCCCAGACUCCUACGGGAGGCAGCAGUGGGGAAUAUUGCGCAAUGGGCGGAAGCCUGACGCAGCGACGCCGCGUGGGGGAUGACGGCCUUCGGGUUGUAAACCUCUUUCAGCAGGGACGAAGCGCAAGUGACGGUACCUGCAGAAGUAGCACCGGCCAACUACGUG
RNAcentral lists this ribosomal RNA (463 nucleotides) under uncultured bacterium. RNAcentral describes it as "partial 16S ribosomal RNA". It matches the Rfam family "Bacterial small subunit ribosomal RNA", at positions 28 to 507 of the family's 1533-position model. The record is from RNAcentral.